AGUGAACGCUGGCGGUAGGCCUAACACAUGCAAGUCGAACGGCAGCACAGUAAGAGCUUGCUCUUACGGGUGGCGAGUGGCGGACGGGUGAGGAAUACAUCGGAAUCUACUUUUUCGUGGGGGAUAACGUAGGGAAACUUACGCUAAUACCGCAUACGACCUACGGGUGAAAGCAGGGGAUCUUCGGACCUUGCGCGAUUGAAUGAGCCGAUGUCGGAUUAGCUAGUUGGCGGGGUAAAGGCCCACCAAGGCGACGAUCCGUAGCUGGUCUGAGAGGAUGAUCAGCCACACUGGAACUGGGACACGGGCCAGACUCCUACGGGAGGCAGCAGUGGGGAAUAUUGGACAAUGGGCGCAAGCCUGAUCCAGCCAUACCGCGUGGGUGAAGAAGGCCUUCGGGUUGUAAAGCCCUUUUGUUGGGAAAGAAAAGCAGCAGGUUAAUACCCCGCUGUUCUGACGGUACCCAAAGAAUAAGCACCGGCUAACUUCGU
RNAcentral lists this ribosomal RNA (491 nucleotides) under uncultured bacterium. RNAcentral's name for it is "partial 16S ribosomal RNA". It matches the Rfam family "Bacterial small subunit ribosomal RNA", at positions 29 to 506 of the family's 1533-position model. The record is from RNAcentral.